CCUACGGGUGGCUGCAGUGAGGAAUAUUGGUCAAUGGGCGCGAGCCUGAACCAGCCAAGUAGCGUGAAGGAUGACUGCCCUAUGGGUUGUAAACUUCUUUUAUAUAGGAAUAAAGUGAGGCACGUGUGCCUUUUUGUAUGUACCUUAUGAAUAAGGAUCGGCUAACUCCGUGCCAGCAGCCGCGGUAAUACGGAGGAUCCGAGCGUUAUCCGGAUUUAUUGGGUUUAAAGGGAGCGUAGAUGGGUUGUUAAGUCAGUUGUGAAAGUUUGCGGCUCAACCGUAAAAUUGCAGUUGAAACUGGCAGCCUUGAGUACAGUUGAGGUAGGCGGAAUGCGUGGUGUAGCGGUGAAAUGCUUAGAUAUCACGAAGAACUCCGAUUGCGAAGGCAGCUUACUAAACUGCAACUGACAUUGAUGCUCGAAAGUGUGGGUAUCAAACAGGAUUAGAUACCCGAGUAGUC
RNAcentral lists this ribosomal RNA (460 nucleotides) under uncultured bacterium. RNAcentral describes it as "partial 16S ribosomal RNA". It matches the Rfam family "Bacterial small subunit ribosomal RNA", at positions 338 to 795 of the family's 1533-position model. The record is from RNAcentral.